Molecule: ribosomal RNA, 440 nt
Filed under: uncultured bacterium
Lineage: Bacteria
Description: partial 16S ribosomal RNA
Rfam family: Bacterial small subunit ribosomal RNA
Source: RNAcentral
CCUACGUGAGGCAGCAGUGGGGAAUAUUACACAAUGGGGGAAACCCUGAUGCAGCGACGCCGCGUGCAGGAAGAAGUAUUUCGGUAUGUAAACUUCUAUCAGCAGGGAAGAAAAUGACGGUAACUGACUAAGAAGCCCCGGCUAACUACGUGCCAGCAGCCGCGGUAAUACGUAGGGGGCAAGCGUUAUCCGGAUGUACUGGGUGUAAAGGGAGAGGAGGCGGCGAGUCAAGUCAGAAGUGAAAGCCCGGGGCUCAACUCCGGGACUGCUUUUGAAACUGUGUUGCUAGAUUGCAGGAGAGGUAAGUGGAAUUCCUAGUGUAGCGGUGAAAUGCGUAGAUAUUAGGAGGAACACCAGUGGCGAAGGCGGCUUACUGGACUGUAAAUGACGCUGAGGCUCGAAAGCGUGGGGAGCAAACAGGAUUAGAUACCCGGGUAGUC